UUGAACGCUGGCGGUAUGCUUUACACAUGCAAGUCGAACGGCAGCACGGGGCAACCUGGUGGCGAGUGGCGAACGGGUGAGUAACAUAUCGGAACAUAUCCGGAAGUGGGGGAUAACGUAGCGAAAGUUACGCUAAUACCGCAUAUGCCCCGAGGGGGAAAGGGGGGGACCGCAAGGCCUCUCGCUUUCGGAGUGGCCGAUAUCGGAUUAGCUGGUUGGUGGGGUAACGGCCCACCAAGGCGACGAUCCGUAGCUGGUCUGAGAGGACGACCAGCCACACUGGAACUGAGACACGGUCCAGACUCCUACGGGAGGCAGCAGUGGGGAAUUUUGGACAAUGGGGGCAACCCUGAUCCAGCCAUACCGCGUGAGUGAAGAAGGCCUUCGGGUUGUAAAGCUCUUUCGGACAGAAAGAAAUCGUGCGGGCCAAUACCCCGUAUGGAUGACGGUACUGUAAGAAGAAGCACCGGCUAACUACGUGC
This 482-nucleotide ribosomal RNA is filed under the name uncultured Sideroxydans sp. RNAcentral describes it as "bacterial SSU rRNA". It matches the Rfam family "Bacterial small subunit ribosomal RNA", at positions 29 to 508 of the family's 1533-position model. Lineage: Bacteria; Pseudomonadati; Pseudomonadota; Betaproteobacteria; Nitrosomonadales; Gallionellaceae. The record is from RNAcentral.